UGGUCCCACCUGACCCCAUGCCGAACUCAGAAGUGAAACGCCGUAGCGCCGAUGGUAGUGUGGGGUCUCCCCAUGUGAGAGUAGGGAACUGCCAGGC
RNAcentral lists this ribosomal RNA (97 nucleotides) under Enterobacter cloacae. RNAcentral also lists the same sequence under 49 other names. Lineage: Bacteria; Pseudomonadati; Pseudomonadota; Gammaproteobacteria; Enterobacterales; Enterobacteriaceae. The record is from RNAcentral.